GCGUGCUUAACACAUGCAAGUCGAGCGAACUGAUUAGAAGCUUGCUUCUAUGACGUUAGCGGCGGACGGGUGAGUAACACGUGGGCAACCUGCCUGUAAGACUGGGAUAACUUCGGGAAACCGAAGCUAAUACCGGAUAGGAUCUUCUCCUUCAUGGGAGAUGAUUGAAAGAUGGUUUCGGCUAUCACUUACAGAUGGGCCCGCGGUGCAUUAGCUAGUUGGUGAGGUAACGGCUCACCAAGGCAACGAUGCAUAGCCGACCUGAGAGGGUGAUCGGCCACACUGGGACUGAGACACGGCCCAGACUCCUACGGGAGGCAGCAGUAGGGAAUCUUCCGCAAUGGACGAAAGUCUGACGGAGCAACGCCGCGUGAGUGAUGAAGGCUUUCGGGUCGUAAAACUCUGUUGUUAGGGAAGAACAAGUACGAGAGUAACUGCUCGUACCGACCGUCCAGCAA
RNAcentral lists this ribosomal RNA (458 nucleotides) under uncultured Bacillus sp. RNAcentral describes it as "bacterial SSU rRNA". It matches the Rfam family "Bacterial small subunit ribosomal RNA", at positions 42 to 485 of the family's 1533-position model. The record is from RNAcentral. Lineage: Bacteria; Bacillati; Bacillota; Bacilli; Caryophanales; Bacillaceae.